RNAcentral lists this ribosomal RNA (425 nucleotides) under uncultured bacterium. RNAcentral describes it as "partial 16S ribosomal RNA". It matches the Rfam family "Bacterial small subunit ribosomal RNA", at positions 354 to 796 of the family's 1533-position model. The record is from RNAcentral.
GUGGGGAAUCUUGCGCAAUGGGCGAAAGCCUGACGCAGCCAUGCCGCGUGAAUGAUGAAGGUCUUAGGAUUGUAAAAUUCUUUCACCGGGGACGAUAAUGACGGUACCCGGAGAAGAAGCUCCGGCUAACUUCGUGCCAGCAGCCGCGGUAAUACGAAGGGGGCUAGCGUUGCUCGGAAUUACUGGGCGUAAAGGGCGCGUAGGCGGACAGCUUAGUCAGAGGUGAAAGCCCAGGGCUCAACCUUGGAAUUGCCUUUGAUACUGGCUGUCUUGAGUUUGGGAGAGGUGAGUGGAACUCCGGGUGUAGAGGUGAAAUUCGUAGAUAUUCGGAAGAACACCAGUGGCGAAGGCGACUCACUGGCCCAAUACUGACGCUGAGGCGCGAAAGCGUGGGGAGCAAACAGGAUUAGAAACCCCGGUAGUCC